UUCUAAUAGAAAUUAUUGUUAGUAAAAUCUGCUCAAUGAUAAUUAAAUAGCCGCAGUUUCUGUGCUAAGGUAGCAUAAUCAUUUGUCUUUUAAUUAAAGACUAGAACGAAAGAUUACCCAUUUAAAUUUCUUUUUCAGAUAUUAGUUUUUAAACUAUUUUAAAUAUUAUAAAAUAUUUAUAUAAAAAAUAGACGACAAGACCCUAUUGAACUUAACUUAAGUUGAACUGGGGCAGUUAAUCAAAUAAAAUUUUAAUUUUAAAAAAAUUCAAAAAUAUCUUAUAUAAUAAAUACAUGAACAAGUUACCAUAGGGAUAACAGCGUAAUAAUUUUUAAAAGUUCUUAUUCAAAAAAUUGUUUACGACCUCGAUGUUGAAUAAUUACCUAAUACAAUGCAAUAAUUUAUUUAAGGAAGUCUGUUCGACUUUUAAAUAAUUACA
RNAcentral lists this ribosomal RNA (439 nucleotides) under Zanomys californica. RNAcentral describes it as "partial 16S ribosomal RNA". Lineage: Eukaryota; Metazoa; Arthropoda; Arachnida; Araneae; Macrobunidae. The record is from RNAcentral.